UGGCCGUGAUGACUAUCUUAGGACACCUUUGGAGUACCCGUGAAAAAAUAACCUUUCUGAGCCAU
RNAcentral lists this small nucleolar RNA (65 nucleotides) under Podiceps cristatus (great crested grebe). Its description in RNAcentral is "Small nucleolar RNA SNORD58". It matches the Rfam family "Small nucleolar RNA SNORD58". From Rfam's summary of the family: snoRNA U58 is found in introns 1, 3 and 6 of the ribosomal protein RPL17 gene in humans. Lineage: Eukaryota; Metazoa; Chordata; Aves; Podicipediformes; Podicipedidae. The record is from Rfam by way of RNAcentral.